CGCACAUUGCGCCCAUUGGUAUUCCGAUGGGCAUGCCUGUUCGAGCGUCAUUAUCCUCUCUCCAACCUUUUUGGGUAUGGAUGUUGGACCGAUGUUGGUCGUCUCGACCAACUGGUCCCAAAGACAACGACGGCGUCCGUGGGACCCUCUUCGCAACGAGCUUUUCGAAGCACGCGUCGAGUUUUCAAGGACCUUCCGGGCCGGUCUCCUUUACAGUUUUCUCAAGGUUGACCUCGGAUCAGGUAGGAAUACCCGCUGAACUUAA
This 265-nucleotide unclassified non-coding RNA is filed under the name Phaeococcomyces sp. RNAcentral's name for it is "partial contains 5.8S ribosomal RNA, internal transcribed spacer 2, and large subunit ribosomal RNA". The record is from RNAcentral. Lineage: Eukaryota; Fungi; Ascomycota; Arthoniomycetes; Lichenostigmatales; Phaeococcomycetaceae.